Ctenocephalides felis (cat flea) is the source of this 1332-nucleotide long non-coding RNA. RefSeq lists it as uncharacterized. Lineage: Eukaryota; Metazoa; Arthropoda; Insecta; Siphonaptera; Pulicidae. The record is from RefSeq and is a predicted model, not a curated record. The transcript has 8 exons.
UGUCGGUACGUGGCGUGGUACGUUGCACGGUCACAUAGAUUCGCCUUUGAGAAUAGCCGUGAAGUGUUUUAUGAUCGAAAUGUCAAAUUAAAUAUAGGUUAACUCGGUCAGUGCAUCGUGGACGCAUAAUUGAGUAUUUUAUCGUGUAUGUUUGAAAUGCAAGAUAUUUCCUUUAUUGAAGCGUUAUUUAUUAAUUGCUUUUAUAUUUAGUGCGAAAUCAGUUGUAGAAAUUAGUUAAACAGUCAGUUGGAAAAGUAUUUAAUAUGAAACCGACAAACAAUUGUAUAGGCCGCCUUCAAUGCAAAGUCUGUUCAUGUAUUGUGAUAAUUGAUUUGUCAUGUAAUAAUUGAAAUUUCUAACACACCAGUCAGAAACAUAACCUCAAUUCAGUGAUAUAUGAAUAAAGAGAAAGAAAAUUAUAGUGCUGAUAACACCUACGAAAAUGAAUUUCAAGCUAGGGAAAUUUUCUCCAAUAGAGAAGAUAAAUACAAAGUUAGAUAAUAUAUUAGAAAUUAUUAAUCCUUUGUCACCAAAAAAAAACAAGCAAGGCUUAAAAACAUGCAAGAAGAAAAAUAAGGACACAUAUCGAUAAAUAAGAACACAUAUUAAGAUUAAGUGUUGAAAAGAAAAUGAAUUGUGGAGUAUUUCUUAAGUGAUGAUAUUGUAUUACAGAAUAGGAAAUUCACAUAUUUAAUACGAAACCAGGAAAAUAUAUAGGUCAUGUGCAAUGCAAAUUCUGUUUAUGUAUUGUGAUAAUUGAUUUUUCACAUAUUUAUUGAAAUUUCUGACAGACCAGUCAAAAAUCACAUAACCUCAGUGAUAUGAUACGAAUAUUAGAGAGAAAGAGUGCUCAUAACCCCUAUGGGUUAUGUCAAAAUGGAAUUCAAACUAGGGAAAAUUACUCUAAUCAAGAAGAUAAAUUAUCACCAAAGAAACAUGCAAGAAGGAAAACAAAGAAUGCACUGGAUAUCACACAUUAUAUGGAUUAAGUGUUGAAGAGAACAUGAAUUGUUGAGUAUUUCGAGUCUGAUGAUCUUGCAUUACAGAAUUGGUAUAUUAAGGUAAUUCAGAUCUUGAAAAUUAAUAGGAUAAAAUCAAUGCAAGAAAAUUGAGUGUGUGUUCAUGGAAUAAUUAUCUCUGUCAUAUGAUCGUAGGAACUACAUAGUCAUUAACUUCAAAUAAUGAGUAUGUUUAGAGAUACAUUAACAGAUGCAAGUGAGUUGAACAUAUUUAACGCAAGACUUAACUUUGCCAAGUCUGAUUUAACUGAAGUUGCCAAGAGAGUUAAACAUAAUACAUAUUAUGAAUAAAUAAAUAAUUAUUUUUAUAGGC